This is a long non-coding RNA of Ananas comosus (pineapple), 1013 nucleotides long. RefSeq lists it as uncharacterized. The record is from RefSeq and is a predicted model, not a curated record. Lineage: Eukaryota; Viridiplantae; Streptophyta; Magnoliopsida; Poales; Bromeliaceae. The transcript is spliced from 3 exons.
UGAUUGUCGGGCGGAUAUGGACCGUCCAAAUCUAAAGUAUGCACCGCCACUGACCACGCGCCCCAAAUACCAAAACUACCCUACACUUUUGCUGCAAAUUACAGCCCACCCACCAUAUACACCUCCUCACCAUUCCUCUACACAUCAGGGGCAUUCUCGUCAUUUCAGGUUCCACGGCUACGCUACUCACCGGAGUUCCCAAUUUGUUCCCCCAAUCUCCUCUCUCGUGCGCCUCCGCUUCGUUCCUUUCUCUCUCUAAACUCUCCCCAAAUCUCUCUCUCUCUCUCUAAUCCCCUUUCUAUUUAUCGAAUAGUUUCGAUUUUGCAAGGGAAAUUUUGUGUCUUGGCGAAAAUUUCCACAUUGGGCUUCUUCGUUCUGCAAAUCACUCAACUGGGUUUUUCGCAAAUCGACGAAAUUUUCGACCUUGCUCCGCGAUCACCCUUGUAUCUCACUUGUGUAUGAUUCAGCACCUUUCAGCUAGUUCAAGUUGAAGCUCAUGGAUGGUAUCAACAGAUAUGAAGAAGACGAAGUUAGUGUAAUGGGCUUUGAAAAUCCGAGAUCUCCUAUAUCGAGCUACAACAACUCGGAAAAUUAUGUCGAAGAUGAAGACAGAGAACCGCCGCAAGUCCCUCCUCACCUGCAGCAUACAUUGUUGGGCUUUCCUGCUAGCCAAGAUGCGUUGGGCACUCUCCCUUUGCCCCAGAAAACUAAUCUCAACCAUCUCUACAUUGAGAACCGGGAAGGCCCGAGAAUGGUGGUGGCUCUCGGGAAUACUCAGCGGUUCCGGUCGAAGUACGUUACCGUCGUGAUCUAUAAGCCAGUGAGAAGAAAAUGAACCCGAUUUAUAUUGCUCUUUUCCAUUUGUUCAUUUGGAUGAGAUUAUAACCCUGGUGAAUCUGACCUUUAGUCGUUGGCGAUCGGCUAUUUGCGGCAUUCACAUCUAUUUUGUUUCUAUUGGUAGGUCGCAUGGUGUACUGCUAUUGAUAUACAAUGGAUUGUGAAAUUUCUUUAUA